GAUGAACGCUGGCGGCGUGCUUAACACAUGCAAGUCGAGCGAAGCACCUUGACUUCUUCGGAAAGAUUGGUGACUGAGCGGGCGUACGGGUGAAGGUACGCGUAGGUAACCGUGCCUCACACAGGGGGAUAACAGUUAGAAAUGACUGCUAAUACCGCAUAAGACCACAGCACCGCAUGGUGCAGGGGUAAAACUCCGGUGGUGUGAGAUGGACCCGCGUCUGAUUAGCUAGUUGGUGAGGUAACAGCUCACCAAGGCGACGAUCAGUAGCCGACCUGAGAGGGUGACCCGGCCACAUUGGGACUGAGACACGGCCCAA
This 319-nucleotide ribosomal RNA is filed under the name uncultured bacterium. RNAcentral's name for it is "bacterial SSU rRNA". It matches the Rfam family "Bacterial small subunit ribosomal RNA", at positions 28 to 334 of the family's 1533-position model. The record is from RNAcentral.